GAAAUGCGAUAAGUAAUGUGAAUUGCAGAAUUCAGUGAAUCAUCGAAUCUUUGAACGCACCUUGCGCUCCUUGGUAUUCCGAGGAGCAUGCCUGUUUGAGUGUCAUGGAAUUCUCAACUCUAUUUGCUUUUGUGAAUAGAGCUUGGAUUUGGAGGUUUAUUGCUGGUACUUGUGAUCGGCUCCUCUUGAAUGCAUUAGCUCGAACCUUUGCGGAUCAGCUAUCGGUGUGAUAAUUGUCUACGCCGUUGCAGUGAAGCAUAUCAAUGGGCUCGGCUUCCAAUCGUCCUUUACUGGACAAUGACUUUGACCUCUGACCUCAAAUCAGGUAGGAUUACCCGCUGAACUUAAGC
Molecule: unclassified non-coding RNA, 350 nt
Filed under: plant metagenome
Description: partial contains 5.8S ribosomal RNA, internal transcribed spacer 2, and large subunit ribosomal RNA
Rfam family: 5.8S ribosomal RNA (bases 1-105)
Source: RNAcentral